Long non-coding RNA from Cervus elaphus (red deer), 189 nucleotides. RefSeq lists it as uncharacterized. Lineage: Eukaryota; Metazoa; Chordata; Mammalia; Artiodactyla; Cervidae. The record is from RefSeq and is a predicted model, not a curated record. The transcript is spliced from 3 exons.
CUGAGCUCCCUCAGCCUGUGUCCUGCCUCCUCACUUGCCGGCUCCUGCCCGCCCAGCAGGGGGCGCUCCCCACCCCGAGGGAGGUGGCAAAGCCUGACGCGCGAGGGAGACCGGCUGGGCGUGAUGACUCCGGUGCAGAGCCAGAGGGAGCAGGACUGGGAGUCCGCGCAGCAGGCCCGCGUGGUGGAC